RNAcentral lists this ribosomal RNA (778 nucleotides) under uncultured bacterium. RNAcentral's name for it is "bacterial SSU rRNA". It matches the Rfam family "Bacterial small subunit ribosomal RNA", at positions 8 to 759 of the family's 1533-position model. The record is from RNAcentral.
AGAGUUUGAUCCUGGCUCAGAACGAACGCUGGCGGCGUGGAUAAGACAUGCAAGUCGAACGCAAUACAGGCUGUAGCAAUACAGCUUGUGUUGAGUGGCGCAAGGGUGCGUAACACGUGGGUAAUUUGCCGUGAAGUUGGGGAUAACUCGCUGAAAGGCGAGCUAAUACCGGAUGUGACUAUUGGGAGGCAUCUUCUGAUGGUUGAAGCUGGGGAUCGAAAGACCUGGCGCUUCACGAUAAGCCCGCGGCCUAUCAGCUAGUUGGUGAGGUAACGGCUCACCAAGGCAAAGACGGGUAGCUGGUCUGAGAGGACGACCAGCCACACUGGAACUGAGACACGGUCCAGACACCUACGGGUGGCAGCAGUCGAGAAUUUUUCUCAAUGGGCGCAAGCCUGAAGGAGCGACGCCGCGUGGGGGAUGAAGGGUUUCGAUCCGUAAACCCCUGUCAUUUGUGAACAAUGUCUAUUAUUUAAAAGAUGAUGGAUUGAUAGUAGCGAAAGAGGAAGGGACGGCUAACUCUGUGCCAGCAGCCGCGGUAAUACAGAGGUCCCGAGCGUUGUUCGGAUUCACUGGGCGUAAAGGGUGCGUAGGUGGUGAUGUAAGUUUGAUGUGAAAUCUCCGGGCUUAACCCGGAAAAUGCAUUGAAUACUACGUUGCUGGAGGAUUGGAGGGGGGACUGGAAUUCUCGGUGUAGCAGUGAAAUGCGUAGAUAUCGAGAGGAACACCAGUGGCGAAGGCGAGUCCCUGGACAAUACCUGACACUGAGGCACGAAAG